This 162-nucleotide non-coding RNA is filed under the name Protocruzia adhaerens. Lineage: Eukaryota; Ciliophora; Spirotrichea. The record is from RNAcentral.
GGAAAAAUAGAAAAUCCUAGAAACAGAAUGUCGACAAUGGUUUCUCUGAGCCCGUGUGUAGACCCUUUCAUCAAGUUUGCACUCUUUAUUAUCAUGGUGACGGCCAUCACAGGUCAUCCCUUAGAUAAUUUUAUUUAUCGCUAUCAUCUUGAAUGUAGUCAA